AUUGAACGCUGGCGGCAUGCCUUACACAUGCAAGUCGAACGGCAGCACGGGAGCUUGCUCCUGGUGGCGAGUGGCGAACGGGUGAGUAAUGCAUCGGAACGUGCCCUGAAGUGGGGGAUAACGUAGCGAAAGUUACGCUAAUACCGCAUAUUCUGUGAGCAGGAAAGCAGGGGAUCUUCGGACCUUGCGCUUUUGGAGCGGCCGAUGUCGGAUUAGCUAGUUGGUGGGUAAAGGCCCGACCAAGGCGACGAUCCGUAGCGGGUCUGAGAGGAUGAUCCGCCACACUGGAACUGAGACACGGUCCAGACUCCUACGGAGGCAGCAGUGGGGAAUUUUGGGACAAUGGGCGCAAGCCUGAUCCAGCCAUGCCGCGUGAGUGAAG
RNAcentral lists this ribosomal RNA (382 nucleotides) under uncultured bacterium. RNAcentral describes it as "bacterial SSU rRNA". It matches the Rfam family "Bacterial small subunit ribosomal RNA", at positions 30 to 410 of the family's 1533-position model. The record is from RNAcentral.